RNAcentral lists this ribosomal RNA (437 nucleotides) under uncultured bacterium. RNAcentral's name for it is "partial 16S ribosomal RNA". It matches the Rfam family "Bacterial small subunit ribosomal RNA", at positions 355 to 784 of the family's 1533-position model. The record is from RNAcentral.
UAGGGAAUCUUCCACAAUGGACGCAAGUCUGAUGGAGCAACGCCGCGUGAGUGAAGAAGGCUUUCGGGUCGUAAAACUCUGUUAUUGAAGAAGAACGUGUGUGACAGUAACUGGUCAUGCAGUGACGGUAUUCAAUCAGAAAGUCACGGCUAACUACGUGCCAGCAGCCGCGGUAAUACGUAGGUGGCAAGCGUUGUCCGGAUUUAUUGGGCGUAAAGCGAGUGCAAGCGGUCUUUUAAGUCUGAUGUGAAAGCCUUCGGCUUAACUGAAGAAGGGCAUCGGAAACUGGGAGACUUGAGUGCAGAAGAGGAGAGUGGAACUCCAUGUGUAGCGGUGAAAUGCGUAGAUAUAUGGAAGAACACCAGUGGCGAAGGCGGCUCUCUGGUCUGUAACUGACGCUGAGGCUCGAAAGCGUGGGUAGCAAACAGGAUUAGAUA